RNAcentral lists this unclassified non-coding RNA (597 nucleotides) under Hevea brasiliensis (rubber tree). Lineage: Eukaryota; Viridiplantae; Streptophyta; Magnoliopsida; Malpighiales; Euphorbiaceae. The record is from RNAcentral.
UUUUGAAAAAUACACUAUUUAGUCGUAUUUUAUUUCUGUUAAACUAUUUAGUCCCUCCAUUAAAUUUUCUGUUAGUCGAAGGGUUUUAGUGCCAAUCAAACUACUAUUUAAUCCCUCUAUUUUAGUGAAAUUAAAUAAUUGGUCCAUGCAUUGUGAAAAAUACAUUAGUUAGUCCAUAUAAUUUGAUUUCGUUAACUUUUUAGUCCCUCCUUUUUUAUACCCAAAUUUUCCUGACUCUUUCCCCCUUAUUUCUCUCUUACCCUCUCUGUUUUCUCCCCCCAUAUUUUUUCUUCUUUGUAUCCACACCCUUCUUUAUCUCAUUCUCUUCGUAUUUCCUUUUAAUAGAAAUUAGUGCAAGAUAUAUGCGUAAAAAAGUUAAUCAAUUCUUGUAUAUCUCUAAGUAAUCAAUGCAAUAAUCUAGAAAAUUUAUUUUCGAUAGAGAAAAUACAAAAAUGAUGCCUAGGAAAUUGAAUGAAAAUAGUUUCAAAUUUUAACAAAAAAAAAGUUCAGAUUUAUUCUCCAUACAACAAAAUUUUCAUUUUCAUUCAGGAAUAUAUUUUUCAAAAUAUUAUAUUUUCAAAAUGUCAGGACUAACUA